GGAAAGAUGCUCGAGUGGUUGAAGAGGCACGCCUGGAAAGCGUGUAUACCCCUAAAGGGUAUCGGGGGUUCGAAUCCCCCUCUUUCCGCGA
This 91-nucleotide transfer RNA is filed under the name Prevotella sp. F0091. RNAcentral's name for it is "tRNA-Ser". It matches the Rfam family "tRNA". Rfam says of the family: Transfer RNA (tRNA) molecules are approximately 80 nucleotides in length. Lineage: Bacteria; Pseudomonadati; Bacteroidota; Bacteroidia; Bacteroidales; Prevotellaceae. The record is from RNAcentral.